UUAAUUGAAGAGUUUGAUCAUGGCUCAGAUUGAACGCUGGCGGCAGGCCUAACACAUGCAAGUCGAGCGGUAACAGGGGAAGCUUGCUUCUCGCUGACGAGCGGCGGACGGGUGAGU
RNAcentral lists this ribosomal RNA (117 nucleotides) under Providencia rettgeri. Its description in RNAcentral is "partial 16S ribosomal RNA". It matches the Rfam family "Bacterial small subunit ribosomal RNA", at positions 1 to 111 of the family's 1533-position model. Lineage: Bacteria; Pseudomonadati; Pseudomonadota; Gammaproteobacteria; Enterobacterales; Morganellaceae. The record is from RNAcentral.